This is a long non-coding RNA of Mesocricetus auratus (golden hamster), 284 nucleotides long. RefSeq lists it as uncharacterized. Lineage: Eukaryota; Metazoa; Chordata; Mammalia; Rodentia; Cricetidae. The record is from RefSeq and is a predicted model, not a curated record. The transcript has 3 exons.
GUUUCUUUGGUUUUUGGCGAUUUACAAAAGAAAGCGGUCCAUUCUAGUAUCUGGAGAAGGUGUGUGUCAGUUCUGACUAUUAAAGCCUAGACUCAUCCAGUUCCAUGUACUAAUGACAAUUACCUUUCAACUAUGAGAAGGAACUGCCAAGAAUGGACAGGAAAACCUGCCCUCAUUCUGGUGAUAUCUGCUGAAGGCAUGAGCUGGUGAUCACAGAGGGGAAAUGGAAGACAGCUGUGCUCAUCACUAUUCCACCAAUACAAAUGCAGAAAGGACAUGAGAUA